AAAUUGAAGAGUUUGAUCAUGGCUCAGAUUGAACGCUGGCGGCAGGCCUAACACAUGCAAGUCGAACGGUAACAGAAAGCAGCUUGCUGCUUUGCUGACGAGUGGCGGACGGGUGAGUAAUGUCUGGGAAACUGCCUGAUGGAGGGGGAUAACUACUGGAAACGGUAGCUAAUACCGCAUAACGUCGCAAGACCAAAGAGGGGGACCUUCGGGCCUCUUGCCAUCGGAUGUGCCCAGAUGGGAUUAGCUUGUUGGUGGGGUAACGGCUCACCAAGGCGACGAUCCCUAGCUGGUCUGAGAGGAUGACCAGCCACACUGGAACUGAGACACGGUCCAGACUCCUACGGGAGGCAGCAGUGGGGAAUAUUGCACAAUGGGCGCAAGCCUGAUGCAGCCAUGCCGCGUGUAUGAAGAAGGCCUUCGGGUUGUAAGUACUUUCAGCGGGGAGGAAGGGAGUAAAGUUAAUACCUUUGCUCAUUGACGUUACCCGCAGAAGAAGCACCGGCUAACUCCGUGCCAGCAGCCGCGGUAAUACGGAGGGUGCAAGCGUUAAUCGGAAUUACUGGGCGUAAAGCGCACGCAGGCGGUUUGUUAAGUCAGAUGUGAAAUCCCCGGGCUCAACCUGGGAACUGCAUCUGAUACUGGCAAGCUUGAGUCUCGUAGAGGGGGGUAGAAUUCCAGGUGUAGCGGUGAAAUGCGUAGAGAUCUGGAGGAAUACCGGUGGCGAAGGCGGCCCCCUGGACGAAGACUGACGCUCAGGUGCGAAAGCGUGGGGAGCAAACAGGAUUAGAUACCCUGGUAGUCCACGCCGUAAACGAUGUCGACUUGGAGGUUGUGCCCUUGAGGCGUGGCUUCCGGAGCUAACGCGUUAAGUCGACCGCCUGGGGAGUACGGCCGCAAGGUUAAAACUCAAAUGAAUUGACGGGGGCCCGCACAAGCGGUGGAGCAUGUGGUUUAAUUCGAUGCAACGCGAAGAACCUUACCUGGUCUUGACAUCCACAGAACUUUCCAGAGAUGGAUUGGUGCCUUCGGGAACUGUGAGACAGGUGCUGCAUGGCUGUCGUCAGCUCGUGUUGUGAAAUGUUGGGUUAAGUCCCGCAACGAGCGCAACCCUUAUCCUUUGUUGCCAGCGGUCCGGCCGGGAACUCAAAGGAGACUGCCAGUGAUAAACUGGAGGAAGGUGGGGAUGACGUCAAGUCAUCAUGGCCCUUACGACCAGGGCUACACACGUGCUACAAUGGCGCAUACAAAGAGAAGCGACCUCGCGAGAGCAAGCGGACCUCAUAAAGUGCGUCGUAGUCCGGAUUGGAGUCUGCAACUCGACUCCAUGAAGUCGGAAUCGCUAGUAAUCGUGGAUCAGAAUGCCACGGUGAAUACGUUCCCGGGCCUUGUACACACCGCCCGUCACACCAUGGGAGUGGGUUGCAAAAGAAGUAGGUAGCUUAACCUUCGGGAGGGCGCUUACCACUUUGUGAUUCAUGACUGGGGUGAAGUCGUAACAAGGUAACCGUAGGGGAACCUGCGGUUGGAUCACCUCCUUACCUUAAAGAAGC
This 1553-nucleotide ribosomal RNA is filed under the name Escherichia coli. RNAcentral's name for it is "bacterial SSU rRNA". It matches the Rfam family "Bacterial small subunit ribosomal RNA". The record is from RNAcentral. Lineage: Bacteria; Pseudomonadati; Pseudomonadota; Gammaproteobacteria; Enterobacterales; Enterobacteriaceae.